GAUGUAUAAAAAUUACUUCAGUUGUUUUAUCAACUUCCCAUUUUAGAAAAAAUGCCAAGAAAGCGACUUCAGUUUCAUCAAUUGUCUAGUAGGAGUAAAAGAAGAAGGGUUAAUGAAAGUGCUGGUUGUUCACAUUGGUCUGAUGAUAGUGACAAUAAAAUAAAUACUACAAGAGAUACUAUAGAUAAUAAAGCUAACGAUACAAAUUGUUCAAUUCUUCUUGAUCCCGAAUCUUCAGAAAAUUAUAAUUUGAAUACAGAGAUUGAAAAGCAUCAAACAAUAUUUUCUGAAAAUGACCUGUCUUUAAGUAGUACAUCUAGUGAUAACGAACAAUUUUUUCAGUUUAAUUUUGAUUUGUCUCCUCCAGAAAUAUAUCCACCUGUUAAUGUAAAUGAGGAUGAUAAUCAGUCUUUGGAUAUCAAGAAAUUUCUUCGAAAUUGGUCUAUUAAAUAUAAUAUUACUGAUGUAUCUUUAUCUGCUUUGUUAGUUGGCUUGAAAGAAAAUAUUAAUAUUUUAAAUACAAUUUUACCAUCUGAUGCCAGAACAUUAUUAAAAACAAAUAUUGUGUUCGAAAAAAAGAAUAUUGAACCUGGUCAUUACUUACAUAUUGGCUUGGAAACCCAGCUAAAAAGUUUGAUUAAAAGUUGUCCAUUAAUUAAUGAAAUACAAGAAUUGAAAUUAAUAGUGAAUGUUGACGGACUUCCUCUUUUUAAAAGUUCUGCUGGACAAGUUAUUCCAAUAUUAAUUUCAGUCAUUAAUAUUCGACAAUUUAAAAAAAAUGUGUUUCCUGUUGGAAUUUAUUAUGGUUUACAGAAACCUAAUAAUAUGGCUCAAUUUCUUCAAACUUUUAUUGAUGAAGUUAUUGUUUUAACAGAAAGAGGUAUUAGUAAUGAAAAUGGUAGUGUAAUGUCAGUAAAAAUUGUUGGUUUUUGUUGUGAUGCCCCUGCAAAAAAAGAUAUAUUGGGUAUUAAAGGGCACGGUGGAUAUUCAUCUUGCACUAAAUGCACAGUCCAUGGUAUUACUGUUGGUAACAAGCGUGUUUUUACUGAAUUAAAUUGUGCUCCGAGAACUCAUGAAGACUUCGUUAAUUGGGUUGAUAUAAAUUAUAGACAGUUGGAUACACCAUUGACACAAAUACCUAGUAUUGAUUUUGUUAAGUCAAUAAUACUAGAUUAUUUGCAUUUAGUUUGCCUAGGAGUAAUGCGCACCAUGUUAUUAACAUGGUAUGAUGGAGUUAUACCAUUUAAGUUAUCACGCCAAUUGAUACAAAAAGUUUCAGAUUUUAUGUUCAAUAAUCGCUUAAAUUUACCAUCAGAGUUUGCUAGGAAGCCUCGUGAACUUAAGUAUCUUUUGAGGUGGAAAGGAGUUGAAUAUCGAUCUUUUCUGUUGUACCUUGGAGUAGUAGCUUUAAAAGGUGUUUUAGAUGACAACAAAUACAAUAAUUUUUUAACAUUGAAUGUGGCAAUGUCUAUACUGCUUAAUCCAAAAACAUGUAACAAUGAAGAAAUGAGGGAAUAUGCAAGAUCUCUUCUACAACAUUUUGUGCAAACGUUUAUGGUUCUCUACAAUGAAAGUUUUAUAACUCAUAAUUUUCAUGGGCUAAUACAUUUAGUUGAUGACGCUAAACAUUUUGCACCUAUGAUUGAUGCAUUUACACUCGACUCAAUUUCUGCAUUUCCGUUCGAAAAUUUUCUUCAAAAAUUAAAAAAUAUGAUAAGAGGGAAAAAUAAACCACUGGAGCAAAUUGGAAAACGACUAGCACAAUUAUUCUCUGAUGAUCAUUUCUUUUCUUUCCAAUCAUGUCCAUCUGAUAAUUUUCCUAAAUUAUUAAAUAUGCAUUGUAGUGGACCUCUACCUGUUAAUUGUAAUGGGCCACAGUAUAAAACGUUGUCAUUUUAUGAUUUUGUAAUUAAAAUAGAAUCACCCAAUAACUGCUGUGCCACAACAAGUAAUGAUAUUGUAAUGGUAGAAAAUAUAUGUUUUUCUAUGGAGUUACAAUCUUUUGUAAUUGUUGGAAGAAAAUUUCUUGUAAAAAAUAACUUUUUUACAGUGCCCUGUGAAAGUUCUACUAUUGGCAUUUAUAAAGUAGAAAAAUUAUCCAAUCUAAAAAUAUGGCCUAUUUCUAAUGUUUGCAUGAAGUAUGUUGUUUUGCCUUACAAACAUUUUUUUAUUAUUUUUCCUUUACUGCAUUCAGCAUAGUAGGAUAUUCACUUUUUUUCUUUUUUUCUGUGAUCUGAAUUAUUAUGUUACCUAUAUUUUAUAUUACCUAAACUUAACAUUACCUAUACAAUUACUACUUAUUAAAAUCAAUGUAUAUACAUUUCCUAUAUUUAUUUCAUGGUAUAAUACUCUUAUAAUUCUUUUAAUCUGUUUCCAUCUUCAUCAUAUAAUUAUCGUAUCAGCUAUCAAUAUUUUGUUUAUUUUAAAGAGUAUGUGGACAUUAAUAUCCAUUUACGAACCAGGUGAGGAGCCAAUACCAGAUUUAGUACCAAAUAUUUGGUUAAUUAAUGAUGUAA
RNA transcript from Myzus persicae (green peach aphid), 2516 nucleotides. RefSeq lists it as uncharacterized. The record is from RefSeq and is a predicted model, not a curated record. The transcript is spliced from 2 exons. Lineage: Eukaryota; Metazoa; Arthropoda; Insecta; Hemiptera; Aphididae.